RNAcentral lists this ribosomal RNA (500 nucleotides) under uncultured bacterium. Its description in RNAcentral is "partial 16S ribosomal RNA". It matches the Rfam family "Bacterial small subunit ribosomal RNA", at positions 30 to 523 of the family's 1533-position model. The record is from RNAcentral.
AUUGAACGCUGGCGGAAUGCUUUACACAUGCAAGUCGAACGGCAGCACGGACUUCGGUCUGGUGGCGAGUGGCGAACGGGUGAGUAAUGUAUCGGAACGUGCCCAGUCGUGGGGGAUAACGUAGUGAAAAUUACGCUAAUACCGCAUACGAUCUAUGGAUGAAAGCGGGGGAUCGCAAGACCUCGCGCGAUUGGAGCGGCCGAUAUCAGAUUAGGUAGUUGGUGGGGUAAAGGCCCACCAAGCCAACGACCUGUAGCUGGUCUGAGAGGACGACCAACCACACUGGAACUGGGACACGGUCCAGACUCCUACGGGAGGCAGCAGUGGGGAAUUUUGGACAAUGGGCGAAAGCCUGAUCCAGCCAUUCCGCGUGCAGGAUGAAGGCCCUCGGGUUGUAAACUGCUUUUGUACAGAACGGAAAGGUUUCUACUAAUACUAGGAGCUCAUGACGGUACCGUAAGAGUAAGCACCGGCUAACUACGUGCCAGCCGCCGCGGUAA